GGGCAGUGACACCCAGUCGUUAUGUCACCCUAAAGCUGGACUUAGAGUCACAGUCAUGGAAAUUCUGGGCAGUAGCAGAGACUUGCAGUCACUAACCAAUAGGAUGCCGUUGGAUGUUGCUACCCAACUGACUCA
This 135-nucleotide non-coding RNA is filed under the name Polynucleobacter asymbioticus QLW-P1DMWA-1. RNAcentral's name for it is "Polynucleobacter necessarius subsp. asymbioticus QLW-P1DMWA-1 Polynucleobacter-1 RNA". It matches the Rfam family "Polynucleobacter-1 RNA". The record is from Rfam by way of RNAcentral. Lineage: Bacteria; Pseudomonadati; Pseudomonadota; Betaproteobacteria; Burkholderiales; Burkholderiaceae.